UAUUAUUUACUCCCAUUCCAACUAGGAACCGGGAAAGACCAACCAAAAAAAAAAAGGGAAACCAAAUUAGAUAUUUAUUAACAAGGAUUUGCACGAAACGAGUAAUUAAAGUCCGAAUCGAUUUUGUAAAAGUCUAAUUUUUUCUUUUUUUUUUUUGAUGGAAGAGCUAAGGCGACUGGAGAAGACUCAGAGUGUUGUAUCAGCCAUUACUUCUCACGGUUUGCUUUCUUCUUCUUCCGAUUCAGCUUCUUCUUCUUCUUCUUCUUCUCGCUUCCUCUCCAAUCUCGUCCUUUUCCUGGUACGACCAUGCGACGAUCUCGAUAUUGAUUCGAAACUGGCUCCAAUCUAUUGGCUCUAAUCUAUUGCUGUAAGUGUCAUGGCCAUCGGAAUCUUCCCCAUGUAAUUGUUGUUCUUUUUUGGGGUCUGCAAAAUCCAAUCCUACACUCCAAAACAUCGCCAACACGUGUGAGUUUUGAAUCCAAAUUAGAAGCACAAAAAAAAAAAAAAGAAGCUUUUGACUUUGGACUGGAGCUAACAGACUCACAAAAAACCUGGAACCUCUCUAUCAACUUACCAACCACUGAUGUCAACUACUUAUAGACAAGAAGGCCAAAAAAGAUGUGAAAAAAUCAGAGUUCUAUUAUAUACUAGAUGUGUACCUUCAAAAGACAUAGAUUUGUUUUGCCUCCCGAUUCUCGUCUACCAAGAUUCAGCA
Molecule: non-coding RNA, 715 nt
Organism: Camelina sativa (false flax)
Lineage: Eukaryota; Viridiplantae; Streptophyta; Magnoliopsida; Brassicales; Brassicaceae
Source: RefSeq, a predicted model, not a curated record